CGUGGGUAACCUGCCCAAGAGACUGGGAUAACACCUGGAAACAGAUACUAAUACCGGAUAACAACACUAGACGCAUGUCUAGAGUUUAAAAGAUGGUUCUGCUAUCACUCUUGGAUGGACCUGCGGUGCAUUAGCUAGUUGGUAAGGUAACGGCUUACCAAGGCAAUGAUGCAUAGCCGAGUUGAGAGACUGAUCGGCCACAUUGGGACUGAGACACGGCCCAAACUCCUACGGGAGGCAGCAG
Molecule: ribosomal RNA, 244 nt
Filed under: uncultured bacterium
Lineage: Bacteria
Description: partial 16S ribosomal RNA
Rfam family: Bacterial small subunit ribosomal RNA
Source: RNAcentral